This is a long non-coding RNA of Populus nigra (black poplar), 1216 nucleotides long. RefSeq lists it as uncharacterized. The record is from RefSeq and is a predicted model, not a curated record. Lineage: Eukaryota; Viridiplantae; Streptophyta; Magnoliopsida; Malpighiales; Salicaceae. The transcript is spliced from 3 exons.
UAAAAAAAUAAAAUAAAAUCAAAGAAAGAAAGCUCAACAAAAAAUGCUUGCAUGACAGUUACCAAAGCAAGCUUGAACCUGCCGUAAUUUCCUCUUUUAUACCGAUAAAACAAGAACAACAUUGACAAGUUCAACUCUUUUCUUAGCCAAAUGUCUUCUUUUCUCUUCUUCUUCUCCAGAAUCACAGAAGGAGUACUUUCAUCGAACACUUGAAGGGCAAGAAUACCGACCGGAACACCUACUUGCACCUCCAUCUCCAGUUACCGUUCCGCCCUCUAUAAUCCACCUGAGCAUUCUCAAGGACCCACAUCGGAGUCUGAGCUUGUCAAGCACCUUAACGGCAUUAUCAAGGUGGCCCAAUCUCAGUGGCAAAGUAUACGGGAGAAGUUUUGAUGAAUCCUAAAUUUGGGUUCUAUAUUAAUCGAGAUGCGUUUGGAGUAGAAAGAGAUUUCAUUACAUAUCCUCAAGUAAGCCAGAUCGUUGGUGAGGUAAAUGAGUUAUCGUUAAACUUUUGAGUACUUGUCUGAUUGUUAUACAUGGAACUUGGAAACCUUGUGCCAUUUUUAAGGUCAUCAAGGCGGCAAGGGAGCUAUUGCAUUGGAACAACAUUUGUACUUGUUAGAUAUUGGAUUCUGGUCACCUUAGUUGUCAUUUUUUGGUGGAUUGUUGCCUGACAAAAUAAUUUCACUUUGACCGUUUCAAUGUAAUGCCAGAUGGUUGGUGUGUGGGCAAUGUGCCUUUGUAGCAAAUGGGACAACCAUAAAAAGUUAACCUAGUUGAGCUGGGCCCAGGACGAGGAGCUCUGAUGGCUGAUCUUCUGCGUUUAUGUUACCACAAUUCUGAAUAAGAUAGUGCUUUGAACUUUAUUUAGUUGGUUUUCAUUGAAUAAGCGUGCCUUUUCCUUAUAGGGUGCAUCAAAGUUUAAGAGCUUCACAGAAUCGUUGCAUGUACACAUGGCAGAAUGUAGUUCCAUGUUACAGAAAACUCGGUAACACAACUUGUUUGGAUGAAGAUGAUACCAGUGAUGGUGUUGAGAAAAGGACUAUCAGCAUAUUGGCAGCAACACCUGUUUCGUGGCAUGCUUUGUUAGAGCAGGUUCCAUCAGGAUUUAUGGAGUUGUCUUUUAAAUUGCUUUUCCAUGAAACCAUAUGUAUCAGUGUCGGACCUGUAUUGUUCAAAUGGAAUGAGUUCUCAAUUUUAGUUCAGUUUCAUAUUU